Molecule: ribosomal RNA, 344 nt
Filed under: uncultured bacterium
Lineage: Bacteria
Description: bacterial SSU rRNA
Rfam family: Bacterial small subunit ribosomal RNA
Source: RNAcentral
AAUCAACGCUGGCGGCGUGCCUCAGACAUGCAAGUCGAACGAUUAAAGCUCUCUUCGGAGAGUGUAUAGAGUGGCGCACGGGUGAGUAACACGUAAGUAAUCUACCUUUGAGUGGGGAAUAACAGUCGGAAACGACUGCUAAAUACCGCAUAAUGCAGCGGCACCGCGAGGUGACAGUUGUUAAAGGAGCAAUUCGCUUAAAGAGGAGCUUGCGGCAGAUUAGCUUGUUGGUAAGGUAACGGCUUACCAAGGCUACGAUCUGUAUCCGGUCUUAGAGGACGGUCGGACACACUGACACUGAAUAACGGGUCAGACUCCUACGGGAGGCAGCAGUCGGGAAUUUU